GUACUAUUAUAUGUUUUAUAAAUUCAGUUAUAAUUUAAUUCAUCUUGUUAUUUAGUGGAAUAUAAUUUAUUUCAGUUUUUCUAAUGCAGUUUGGAAGCCACUUGGAGUAAACCUUUCGUCAGUUACUCACAAAAAAAGAUUGGCAAAUCUAGUCCUGAGAGAUCACUUUUUUUGUCAAGGAAAUACUGGAAAUUGGUAUUGAAAAGGUAUUCAACCAUGGCAUGUUGACCAGCUAUCUGCGGAGUGAAAAUCUACUUGACAGUGUUCAACCAGUUAAGUACAUUUUACAAAAGAUUCUGAGAAUUGCAAAAGUUAUGUGAACAAAUUUUGUAUUGGAGAAAUUCUAGGUAAAAUGAAAGCCAUUUCACAAUACAGCUGAAUAGCUAUGAAAUGCAACCAAUCCAGGAACUGAGUGUGUUGAACAACCAAACUUAUCUUGGAGAGCUGCAGAAAGAGAAUGGAACAUUACCCUGCCAAACACCUGCUUCCAAAUGGUCAAUGGCAGGGGUCUUAUUCACUGUCUGAUGAAUUUAAGUUUAAACAAGAUAUUGCUUUUGAUUACCUCUGCUGAGCUGCUUAGGAAGUUAGCUAGAGUGACGAAGAUGUGUCAUCACAGCAGAAUAAGUGUAAAAAGCAAGUUGUUCAGCAAAACGAGUGCCUUGCAUUAUUUACCACUAUUUUACGAUAUUGAGCUGAUGAUACCUGGUAAACCUGCAAUUUGUUUUUAUGUAGACUUCAUGGUUUUUGAGUUACGUCAAAAAUAAAAAUAGGUACGAUAGAAA
Daphnia carinata is the source of this 782-nucleotide long non-coding RNA. RefSeq lists it as uncharacterized. Lineage: Eukaryota; Metazoa; Arthropoda; Branchiopoda; Diplostraca; Daphniidae. The record is from RefSeq and is a predicted model, not a curated record. The transcript has 4 exons.